Molecule: ribosomal RNA, 450 nt
Filed under: uncultured bacterium
Lineage: Bacteria
Description: partial 16S ribosomal RNA
Rfam family: Bacterial small subunit ribosomal RNA
Source: RNAcentral
GUGGGGAAUUUUGGACAAUGGGCGCAAGCCUGAUCCAGCAAUGCCGCGUGCAGGAAGAAGGCCUUCGGGUUGUAAACUGCUUUUGUACGGAACGAAACGGUCCGGGUUAAUACCCUGGGCUAAUGACGGUACCGUAAGAAUAAGCACCGGCUAACUACGUGCCAGCAGCCGCGGUAAUACGUAGGGUGCAAGCGUUAAUCGGAAUUACUGGGCGUAAAGCGUGCGCAGGCGGUUUUGUAAGACAGGCGUGAAAUCCCCGGGCUCAACCUGGGAAUUGCGCUUGUGACUGCAAGGCUGGAGUGCGGCAGAGGGGGAUGGAAUUCCGCGUGUAGCAGUGAAAUGCGUAGAUAUGCGGAGGAACACCGAUGGCGAAGGCAAUCCCCUGGGCCUGCACUGACGCUCAUGCACGAAAGCGUGGGGAGCAAACAGGAUUAGAAACCCAGGUAGUCC